GCUCCCUGAGAUUAGCGGCGGACGGGUGAGUAACACGUGGGCAACCUGCCUAUAAGACUGGGAUAACUUCGGGAAACCGGAGCUAAUACCGGAUACGUUCUUUUCUCGCAUGAGAGAAGAUGGAAAGACGGUUUACGCUGUCACUUAUAGAUGGGCCCGCGGCGCAUUAGCUAGUUGGUGAGGUAAUGGCUCACCAAGGCGACGAUGCGUAGCCGACCUGAGAGGGUGAUCGGCCACACUGGGACUGAGACACGGCCCAGACUCCUACGGGAGGCAGCAGUAGGGAAUCUUCCGCAAUGGACGAAAGUCUGACGGAGCAACGCCGCGUGAACGAAGAAGGCCUUCGGGUCGUAAAGUUCUGUUGUUAGGGAAGAACAAGUACCAGAGUAACUGCUGGUACCUUGACGGUACCUAACCAGAAAGCCACGGCUAACUACGUGCCAGCAGCCGCGGUAAUACGUAGGUGGCAAGCGUUGUCCGGAAUUAUUGGGCGUAAAGCGCGCGCAGGUGGUUCCUUAAGUCUGAUGUGAAAGCCCACGGCUCAACCGUGGAGGGUCAUUGGAAACUGGGGAACUUGAGUGCAGAAGAGGAAAGUGGAAUUCCAAGUGUAGCGGUGAAAU
Molecule: ribosomal RNA, 620 nt
Filed under: Peribacillus frigoritolerans
Lineage: Bacteria; Bacillati; Bacillota; Bacilli; Caryophanales; Bacillaceae
Description: bacterial SSU rRNA
Rfam family: Bacterial small subunit ribosomal RNA
Source: RNAcentral